CCUACGGGAGGCAGCAGUGGGGAAUAUUGCACAAUGGGGGAAACCCUGAUGCAGCGACGCCGCGUGAGUGAAGAAGUAUUUCGGUAUGUAAAGCUCUAUCAGCAGGGCAGAAAAUGACGGUACCUGAUUAAGAAGCCCCGUCUAACUACGUGCCCGCAGGCGCGGGAAUACGUAGGGGGCCAGCGUUAUCCGGAUUUACUGGGUGUAAAGGGAGCGGAGACGGCAGCACAAGUCUGGAGUGAAAUGCCGGGGCUUAACCCCGGAACUGCUUUGGAAACUGUGCAGCUAGAGUGCAGGAGAGGUAAGUGGAAUUCCUAGUGUAGCGGUGAAAUGCGUAGAUAUUAGGAGGAACACCAGUGGCGAAGGCGGCUUACUGGACUGUAACUGACGUUGAGGCUCGAAAGCGUGGGGAGCAAACAGGAUUAGAUACCCGGGUAGUC
Molecule: ribosomal RNA, 440 nt
Filed under: uncultured bacterium
Lineage: Bacteria
Description: partial 16S ribosomal RNA
Rfam family: Bacterial small subunit ribosomal RNA
Source: RNAcentral